Molecule: ribosomal RNA, 497 nt
Filed under: uncultured bacterium
Lineage: Bacteria
Description: partial 16S ribosomal RNA
Rfam family: Bacterial small subunit ribosomal RNA
Source: RNAcentral
GAUGAACGCUGGCGGCGUGCCUAAUACAUGCAAGUCGAGCGAACGGACGAGAAGCUUGCUUCUCUGAUGUCAGCGGCGGACGGGUGAGUAACACGUGGAUAACCUACCUAUAAGACUGGGAUAACUUCGGGAAACCGGAGCUAAUACCGGAUAAUAUUUUGAACCGCAUGGUUCAAAGGUAAAAGACGGUCUUGCUGUCACUUAUAGAUGGAUCCGCGCUGCAUUAGCUAGUUGGUAAGGUAACGGCUUACCAAGGCAACGAUGCAUAGCCGACCUGAGAGGGUGAUCGGCCACACUGGAACUGAGACACGGUCCAGACUCCUACGGGAGGCAGCAGUAGGGAAUCUUCCGCAAUGGGCGAAAGCCUGACGGAGCAACGCCGCGUGAGUGAUGAAGGUCUUCGGAUCGUAAAACUCUGUUAUUAGGGAAGAACAUAUGUGUAAGUAACUGUGCACAUCUUGACGGUACCUAAUCAGAAAGCCACGGCUAACUACGUG